RNAcentral lists this ribosomal RNA (253 nucleotides) under uncultured bacterium. RNAcentral describes it as "partial 16S ribosomal RNA". It matches the Rfam family "Bacterial small subunit ribosomal RNA", at positions 524 to 776 of the family's 1533-position model. The record is from RNAcentral.
GACAGAGGGUGCAAACGUUGUUCGGAAUUACUGGGCAUAAAGGGCACGUAGGUGGUCCGCUAAGUCACGUGUGAAAUCCCCCGGCUCAACCGGGGAAUUGCGCGUGAUACUGGCGGACUUGAGGCAGGUAGGGGUGAGUGGAACUCCAGGUGGAGCGGUGAAAUGCGUAGAUAUCUGGAGGAACACCGGUGGCGAAAGCGGCUCACUGGACCUGAUCUGACACUGAGGUGCGAAAGCUAGGGUAGCAAACGGG